UACGAAGGGGGCUAGCGUUGCUCGGAAUCACUGGGCGUAAAGCGCACGUAGGCGGAUCUUUAAGUCAGGGGUGAAAUCCUGGAGCUCAACUCCAGAACUGCCUUUGAUACUGGCGAGCUUGAGUUCGGGAGAGGUGAGUGGAACUGCGAGUGUAGAGGUGAAAUUCGUAGAUAUUCGCAAGAACACCAGUGGCGAAGGCGGCUCACUGGCCCGAUACUGACGCUGAGGUGCGAAAGCGUGGGGAGCAAACAGG
Molecule: ribosomal RNA, 253 nt
Filed under: uncultured bacterium
Lineage: Bacteria
Description: partial 16S ribosomal RNA
Rfam family: Bacterial small subunit ribosomal RNA
Source: RNAcentral